UGGGUAAUAGCUCAGUGGUAGAGCACAUGCUUAGCAUGCAAAAGGUCCUGGGUUGAAUUCCCAGUACCUCAA
This 72-nucleotide transfer RNA is filed under the name Camelus bactrianus (Bactrian camel). It matches the Rfam family "tRNA". From Rfam's summary of the family: Transfer RNA (tRNA) molecules are approximately 80 nucleotides in length. Their secondary structure includes four short double-helical elements and three loops (D, anti-codon, and T loops). Further hydrogen bonds mediate the characteristic L-shaped molecular structure. tRNAs have two regions of fundamental functional importance: the anti-codon, which is responsible for specific mRNA codon recognition, and the 3' end, to which the tRNAs corresponding amino acid is attached (by aminoacyl-tRNA synthetases). tRNAs cope with the degeneracy of the genetic code in two manners: having more than one tRNA (with a specific anti-codon) for a particular amino acid; and 'wobble' base-pairing, i.e. permitting non-standard base-pairing at the 3rd anti-codon position. RNAcentral also lists the same sequence under 2 other names. The record is from Rfam by way of RNAcentral. Lineage: Eukaryota; Metazoa; Chordata; Mammalia; Artiodactyla; Camelidae.